RNAcentral lists this ribosomal RNA (468 nucleotides) under uncultured bacterium. RNAcentral describes it as "partial 16S ribosomal RNA". It matches the Rfam family "Bacterial small subunit ribosomal RNA", at positions 28 to 507 of the family's 1533-position model. The record is from RNAcentral.
GACGAACGCUGGCGGCGUGCUUAACACAUGCAAGUCGAACGGAAAGGCCCUGCUUUUGUGGGGUGCUCGAGUGGCGAACGGGUGAGUAACACGUGAGUAACCUGCCCUUGACUUUGGGAUAACUUCAGGAAACUGGGGCUAAUACCGGAUAGGAGCUCCUGCUGCAUGGUGGGGGUUGGAAAGUUUCGGCGGUUGGGGAUGGACUCGCGGCUUAUCAGCUUGUUGGUGGGGUAGUGGCUUACCAAGGCUGUGACGGGUAGCCGGCCUGAGAGCGUGACCGGCCACAUUGGGACUGCGAUACGGCCCAGACUCCUACGGUAGGCAGCAGUGGGGAAUAUUGCACAAUGGGCGGAAGCCUGAUGCAGUAACGCCGCGUGCGGGAUGACGGCCUUCGGGUUGUAAACCGCUUUCGCCUGUGACGAAGCGUGAGUGACGGUAAUGGGUAAAGAAGCACCGGCUAACUACGUG